AUUGAACGCUGGCGGCAUGCCUUACACAUGCAAGUCGAACGGCAGCACGGGUGCUUGCACCUGGUGGCGAGUGGCGAACGGGUGAGUAAUACAUCGGAACAUGUCCUGUAGUGGGGGAUAGCCCGGCGAAAGCCGGAUUAAUACCGCAUACGAUCUACGGAUGAAAGCGGGGGCCCUUCGGGCCUCGCGCUGUAGGGUUGGCCGAUGGCUGAUUAGCUAGUUGGUGGGGUAAAGGCCUACCAAGGCGACGAUCAGUAGCUGGUCUGAGAGGACGACCAGCCACACUGGGACUGAGACACGGCCCAGACUCCUACGGGAGGCAGCAGUGGGGAAUUUUGGACAAUGGGCGAAAGCCUGAUCCAGCAAUGCCGCGUGUGUGAAGAAGGCCUUCGGGUUGUAAAGCACUUUUGUCCGGAAAGAAAUCCUUGGCCCUAAUACGGUCGGGGGAUGACGGUACCGGAAGAAUAAGCACCGGCUAACUACGUG
This 486-nucleotide ribosomal RNA is filed under the name uncultured bacterium. Its description in RNAcentral is "partial 16S ribosomal RNA". It matches the Rfam family "Bacterial small subunit ribosomal RNA", at positions 30 to 507 of the family's 1533-position model. The record is from RNAcentral.